UAAAUUGAAAGAAAACUUGGAUAAACAUAAAACAGAUGACAAAGGAAUUGAUGACGUUGGGUUUGCAAUGCAAGAACCUAUGACACAAGAGGUAGAUCCAUCAGCUAAAGUAACAAUAGAAGAUGUUAUAUGAGACUGCAAGACAGAUAAAAAAUUAGAGUUACCUGUCAUAUGGUCUGUAGAACCAUAAUUAAUGACCCAUUUGGAAUGGGAAGACACAAGGCAUGAUGUGGAAUUACCUGACUUGGCGAGUGCAAUGACAGGGGAACUGGUGGACUUUAAGGAUGCUUGAUAUUGGGAGAAUUGUGCAAAUUCUUUAGCAGACAUCAAAAUAGUUUUCUCUGAGGAUGGGGUUUUCUCUAAGGAUGGGGCUGUAUACUCCCUGACUGCUAUGUUGGCUAUCUGAGAUCGUCGGUUCUUAUUUUGAAGUUUCAAACAUGUGUGCUUUGUAUGACCAGGUUCAUGACAGUAAUAGCAAACAACUCCAAAAUCUCGAUCAGAGGCAGACUCUCCAUGACGGUGAUUACCUCUAUUGGCAGUAAUCCCUCUAUUGCCCCCUCUACUAUUAUGCCGUCCAUUAUCAUUGCGACUCACAAG
Molecule: long non-coding RNA, 597 nt
Filed under: Ananas comosus (pineapple)
Lineage: Eukaryota; Viridiplantae; Streptophyta; Magnoliopsida; Poales; Bromeliaceae
Description: long non-coding RNA (ACOM_LNC029106)
Source: RNAcentral